UUACGGCCAUAUCAUGUUGAAACAUUUGUUCCCGUAUGAUCACCGAAGGUAAGCAAAAUUAAACCUGGCCAGUACCUAGAUGGGUGACCAUUUGGAAAUACCGGGUGCUGCAAG
Acanthosepion pharaonis is the source of this 114-nucleotide non-coding RNA. Lineage: Eukaryota; Metazoa; Mollusca; Cephalopoda; Sepiida; Sepiidae. The record is from the annotation of a GenBank genome assembly.